GAAUUUUGGACAAUGGGGGCAACCCUGAUCCAGCCAUCCCGCGUGUGCGAUGAAGGCCUUCGGGUUGUAAAGCACUUUUGGCAGGGAAGAAAAGGCUCUGGCUAAUACCUGGAGCUGCUGACGGUACCUGCAGAAUAAGCACCGGCUAACUACGUCCCAGCACCCGCGGUAAUACGUAGGGUGCAAGCUUUAAUCGGAAUUCCUGGGCGUAAAGGUUCCUCAACCGCGUCAGCAAAUCACCGCUCAAAUCCCAGUGCUUAACCUUUGAACUGCAUUCUUAACUGCCGGGCUAGAAUAUGUCAACGUUAUAUCCACUUCCCCGUCUCUCCAUACCCUCCGUCGCUAUUCUUAUUCCUCCCCCUCACUACUACCCCCCCCUGCAAUAAUACUGACGCUCAUGCACGAAAGCGUGGGGAGCAAAC
RNAcentral lists this ribosomal RNA (422 nucleotides) under uncultured bacterium. RNAcentral describes it as "partial 16S ribosomal RNA". It matches the Rfam family "Bacterial small subunit ribosomal RNA", at positions 359 to 773 of the family's 1533-position model. The record is from RNAcentral.